GGGGAUUUAGCUGAGCAGAAUAAGCACCUGCCUUGCAAGCAGGCAGUCGUGAGUUUGAUCCCCA
This 64-nucleotide transfer RNA is filed under the name Cavia porcellus (domestic guinea pig). It matches the Rfam family "tRNA", at positions 1 to 62 of the family's 71-position model. Rfam says of the family: Transfer RNA (tRNA) molecules are approximately 80 nucleotides in length. Lineage: Eukaryota; Metazoa; Chordata; Mammalia; Rodentia; Caviidae. The record is from Rfam by way of RNAcentral.